UAUUAACAUUUCUUGUCGAUUAUAGAUUAGUCCAACAAAACCUCCAAUUAAAUGGGCAAUUUAUGAGCACCUUUAUGAAACUGAUUCUAAGUCAUUGACAAGAAUUUGUCCAAGACUCACCAAAAAUCACUUUCAACUUAACAGUUUCUCAAAGAUGAAAGUGAAGUUUGCUUCACAAGUAAGAUCAAAUAACUCCUUAUGAAAAAUGAAAUAAAAACAUUAUUUAAUAUUGUGUAAAUUAUCUUGUAUUUAACAGAUUUUCAGCAAAUCAGUAGCAGAUAGUAUAAGAUUUUUUAAUACUAAAUCAUACCCAGGGUUCAAUGAAUGUGAGGAAACAAUACAUUUUACUAUUUUUAUGAAUAAUUUAUUUGUCGCCCUCAAUAGAAAAUUUCCAGCAGAAGGGAUAAAAAAAAAUAGUCAAGAUUUGGAGGUUUUAUUAAAUUUUAUGUGUUGCACGUUUCUAUCUGAUGUUUUGUGGUACUAAAAUCUUAGGAAAGUAUUUUAUUUAUUUGCUAAUUAAUAAUUUGUAGUAGAGUAGGUAGUUGUAGUUUUUGUAAAUUUACUAUAUUUUAUUCAGUGAAAUCAAUUAGUUCGGUACAUAAAUAUGUUUGUUGGUUAAAGGUAUUGAAAAACGCACUGACAGUUUUACAUACAUGGGAAUUAAAUGUGGCCAAUAAAUUACUGUCCGAAGAUGACUUUAACAAAACAAACCGCUAAAGGAUUAAAAAUAACAAUUAAGUCCACAAUAGAAUUGACAAAUUAUCUUCUUGACGAAUGCAUUUUCCUUAUGUGUUGACAAGUAAAACUAAUCAAGACUGCUUAGAAGUAAUAAUUAAAUACCAACUAUUAAUUAUUAUAUAUAUAAAAUUAUUGAUUUCCUAAAAAUAUGGUUCAUUAAUUGUAUGUGAAUUUAUUCUCUUUAGAAAUUUUUUGGUACCAUUAGACAAGUUGCUGGUCCCGAUGACCACUCUACUACACCUACAUUUUUACAACUAUACAGAAUGUUAUCGGUAUAUUCAAUAAUCAAGCCCCCCAAAUCAGGAAAUUGUUGGAUACUAGAAGAAAAUAUCCCAGUUAUUACAAUCACAGACCUAAAAACUAUUUUAAAUGAUAAAAAUGAUGUAAAUUUAAGGGAAAUUAAAAUAAAUAAUUUAAAACAAAAAAUUGAUUACAUUGUUGAAGAACGUCAAUGGCAUUUUUUGAGGAUGUUUUUAGCGAACACAAUUAUAGUGAUGUCAGUUCUACAGCUUUUGAGUGUGCAGUUUAUUUUAUGGCAGGGUAGGUAUAC
Myzus persicae (green peach aphid) is the source of this 1288-nucleotide long non-coding RNA. RefSeq lists it as uncharacterized. The record is from RefSeq and is a predicted model, not a curated record. The transcript is spliced from 2 exons. NCBI's taxonomy places the organism in Eukaryota, Metazoa, Arthropoda, Insecta, Hemiptera, Aphididae.